ACGCUCGACACCUACGGGGCAGCAGUGGGGAAUAUUGCACAAUGGGGGAAACCCUGAUGCAGCGAUGCCGCGUGAAGGAAGAAGUAUCUCGGUAUGUAAACUUCUAUCAGCAGGGAAGAAAAUGACGGUACCUGACUAAGAAGCCCCGGCUAACUACGUGCCAACAGCCGCGGUAAUCUGAGCGGGCUGGCAAGGC
RNAcentral lists this ribosomal RNA (196 nucleotides) under uncultured bacterium. RNAcentral's name for it is "partial 16S ribosomal RNA". It matches the Rfam family "Bacterial small subunit ribosomal RNA", at positions 326 to 539 of the family's 1533-position model. The record is from RNAcentral.